This 492-nucleotide ribosomal RNA is filed under the name uncultured bacterium. Its description in RNAcentral is "partial 16S ribosomal RNA". It matches the Rfam family "Bacterial small subunit ribosomal RNA", at positions 29 to 507 of the family's 1533-position model. The record is from RNAcentral.
AGUGAACGCUGGCGGUAGGCCUAACACAUGCAAGUCGAACGGCAGCACAGUAAGAGCUUGCUCUUACGGGUGGCGAGUGGCGGACGGGUGAGGAAUACAUCGGAAUCUACUUUUUCGUGGGUGAUAACGUAGGGAAACUUACGCUAAUACCGCAUACGACCUACGGGUGAAAGCAGGGGAUCUUCGGACCUUGCGCGUUUGAAUGAGCCGAUGUCGGAUUAGCUAGUUGGCGGGGUAAAGGCCCACCAAGGCGACGAUCCGUAGCUGGUCUGAGAGGAUGAUCAGCCACACUGGAACUGAGACACGGUCCAGACUCCUACGGGAGGCAGCAGUGGGGAAUAUUGGACAAUGGGCGCAAGCCUGAUCCAGCCAUACCGCGUGGGUGAAGAAGGCCUUCGGGUUGUAAAGCCCUUUUGUUGGGAAAGAAAAGCAGCAGGUUAAUACCCCGCUGUUCUGACGGUACCCAAAGAAUAAGCACCGGCUAACUUCGUG